This 392-nucleotide ribosomal RNA is filed under the name uncultured Gammaproteobacteria bacterium. Its description in RNAcentral is "bacterial SSU rRNA". It matches the Rfam family "Bacterial small subunit ribosomal RNA", at positions 370 to 779 of the family's 1533-position model. The record is from RNAcentral. Lineage: Bacteria; Pseudomonadati; Pseudomonadota; Gammaproteobacteria.
AAUGGGCGAAAGCCUGAUCCAGCAAUGCCGCGUGAGUGAUGAAGGCCUUAGGGUUGUAAAACUCUUUUACCAGGGAUGAUAAUGACAGUACCUGGAGAAUAAGCUCCGGCUAACUCCGUGCCAGCAGCCGCGGUAAUACGGAGGGAGCUAGCGUUGUUCGGAAUUACUGGGCGUAAAGCGCGCGUAGGCGGUUUUUCAAGUCAGAGGUGAAAGCCCAGGGCUCAACCCCGGAACUGCCUUUGAAACUGGAUGACUAGAAUCUUGGAGAGGCGAGUGGAAUUCCGAGUGUAGAGGUGAAAUUCGUAGAUAUUCGGAAGAACACCAGUGGCGAAGGCGACUCGCUGGACAAGUAUUGACGCUGAGGUGCGAAAGUGUGGGGAGCAAACAGGAUU